UAAAAAUAAAUAAGUUAUUCAGCCGAUAAAUGUAAGCACAAAUAUCUAUACAAUAAUCAUAGUCAAUUAAAAAUACCUAUGUUCUUAACGAUCCUUCAGCUGCAACAAAUAAGCAAAUCCGUGCGUCACUGGAUUGGGAGUCCUUUUGUCGCUGGAUGAGGAGUUCCUAUGUUGUAAAGAACACUCGAAAAAAAAAAUAAAACAAAAACAAAAACAUUCCAAACGUCUAUUACCCGGGAGUUCGAACGUCGAUUGCCUGGGAGUCCACUCGUCGUUUAACUGGAAGUCUUUUCGUCCUUGAGUACUGGUCGAGUAUUCUGAUAAUUGGGUUCAGCAACAUUUUGUUGUUGUGUCCAAAUGUCGGGAACUACUAGUCCUGAAGUCGAUGGGCAGAUGUCCUGGCGUCGUGUGCCAGAUGUCCAAGUGUCGGAAACCUGCAACCAAAAGUCGUUUACCCUGGAGUCCUUUUGGUAACUCGCCCAAAAGAGUGCAUGCCCUAUUUGUAAACUCAGCUAACUGUUACAGUUUUGUGAUACAUCCAUUUGACACCUGCAAAGUGUCAUCAUCAUUUCAGCAUCCAAUUUGGCUCAUCUCCAGUUAGCCAGCCAUUGGUUAAUUACAUCACCCAAGUUUGGUUAUGAUAGGAAAAUGUUCAUCUAUGUAUUGCUGUGAAAUUGCCGUUCCUACACUUUUUCCUGUCUUUACCAUCCAUAGACUUAAUAUUAUUUUAAAUUCUUGAUCCCUACGCUUUUCCAUCUUCGUCUGUGCCCAGUCUUCGGUUAAUCAUCGCUUCGCCAGGUCUUCGCAUCGUUUCCGUUUCGUUGCCAGUUUCCCCAUCGUCUCAUCGCCGUCUUUGUCUUCACCAUCGUCUUAUCUCCGUCCUCGCCUUCGCCAUCGUCUCAUCGCCGCCCUCGCCUUCGCCAUCGUCUCAUCGCCGCCCUCGCCUUCGCCAUCGUCUCAUCGCCGCCCUCGCCUUCGCCAUCGUCUCAUCGCCGCCCUCGCCUUCGCCAUCGUCUUAUCGCCGCCUUCGCCUUCACCAUCAUCUCAUCACCUCUUUGCCUUCGCCGUAUCUCCGUCCUUAACGAUGGAACAAUCAAAUCCAGAAAAAACAACUCAUGGCGAUCGAGCGUGACCUCACCGUGGAACUUCUCGGGUAUUGUUUUGUUUUGUUUUGUAUUGUUGUAUUGUGUAAUGUGUUUUGUAUAUUGUAUAGUUAACCCGUUGGCUGCCACCCCGUUUGCUCCCAUUUUUUUUAGCUGUAGGGACCGAGCGCACUGCUCUGCCCCAUCAUGGCCAUGGGGUAGGGCAGUGCUCCGCCGGAAGGCGGUUAGGCAAUGCACCAGUAGGGAAUUCUCUUUGUUCGAUGCGGUGAUGGUUUCCUGAGGGUGUGCAUUCCCUGUAAAGGUUUCUAUAGCCGUGUCAGCCCGGACUUCUCUUCGGACAAGUCCCCCUUCGUCGGCGAUCCUUCUGACGCGAGACAUAGCUACUGUAGUUAAAGCAACCUACGGGUUGCAUGGCCUGGUAGCCAACGGGUUAACUAGUUUGUUGUAUGUGUAUGUAUGUAUUUAUAUUUUUAAUUAUACAUGUAUUGUGUUUUAUGUAAAAUAGUGGUGGAAUUGUGGGUGGAGGGACAAUAAGACAAUCGUUUCUUUAACUCUUCUAUUUUUUAUUUAUUUGAUACGCUUUACAAGUUUUGAAGACCUAUAUAAAUUACUCGCAUCAACAGAUUCAGAAUAUUCCGUUGAAGUUUGGGUGCGUUUUAAAAAUGAUUUAUUUAAUCCCCUUUUCCCUUGAAUAUCUAAUUUUAACAUGAAAUCGUGAAGCACUGGUGCGUAUUCUGACUACAUAAAGAAUCGCGGGAAAGUUCUUGGUGUUAUUUACAAAUUGUAUUUCUAAGGAUACGUUUUUGUUUGUUUGUGUUUUGUUGUGUUCAUAAGAAGAAAAAAAAAGGUAUUUAUAAAUUUUGGUUAUUAAUACACACACAGUCUAUAAUUUAAAGUAUGUUAAUUUCUACUGGUAACCUGUGCUAAAAUCGAAACAAUAACAAACAGCGUUUCACGAUUUCGUAUAAAAAUCAAAUAUUUAAGGGAAUUUUUUUGUGCGCCAACAGCCCUUUGCAUUCCUUCAUUUAAAAACGGCUGGUUUAACGAGAAAACCAAUCGCUGAAUCGAAAUCAGCGUUUA
Molecule: long non-coding RNA, 2183 nt
Organism: Daphnia magna
Lineage: Eukaryota; Metazoa; Arthropoda; Branchiopoda; Diplostraca; Daphniidae
Exons: 3
Source: RefSeq, a predicted model, not a curated record